Molecule: long non-coding RNA, 350 nt
Organism: Mastomys coucha (southern multimammate mouse)
Lineage: Eukaryota; Metazoa; Chordata; Mammalia; Rodentia; Muridae
Exons: 3
Source: RefSeq, a predicted model, not a curated record
CCCCCUCCCGCCAAUCAGAUCGCACUGGCGACGCCCCCUUCCGCGCCCGCAUCCAAUGAGUGGCGUCGGCCAAUCGCGGGAGGCGAGAGCACCACGAAUCUCCGGGCAAGUUAAGUUUAUCUCCGAGGCUCGAUGCUGAAGAGUGACCGUGGAGACUUACACCUUAAACAAGCCUACACAAAGAACAAAGGAAAUGAAAAUCUGCCUGCACCAGUUUAAACAGACUGGAAAACCCCAAGGGUCUAGGUGAUAUGGUUAGGUACAGAGCUUGACACUCAGGACUGUCUAUUUCCCACUGAAGAUGUUAAUUAACCUACAGACUCUCAAGUCUGUGGGAGCUGGAUGUGCAG